This 158-nucleotide unclassified non-coding RNA is filed under the name uncultured Xylaria. Its description in RNAcentral is "sequence contains ITS2". Lineage: Eukaryota; Fungi; Ascomycota; Sordariomycetes; Xylariales; Xylariaceae. The record is from RNAcentral.
CAACCCUUAAGCCCUUGUUGCUUAGCGUUGGGAGCCUACGGCACCGUAGCUCCCCAAAGUCAGUGGCGGAGCCGGCUCACACUCUAGACGUAGUAAUUUCUCACCUCGCCUAUAGUUGGACCGGUCCCCUGCCGUAAAACGCCCCAGUAUUUAAAAGG